RNAcentral lists this ribosomal RNA (467 nucleotides) under uncultured bacterium. RNAcentral's name for it is "partial 16S ribosomal RNA". It matches the Rfam family "Bacterial small subunit ribosomal RNA", at positions 28 to 507 of the family's 1533-position model. The record is from RNAcentral.
GACGAACGCUGGCGGCGUGCUAACACAUGCAAGUCGAACGGAAAGGCCCUGCCUUUGUGGGGUGCUCGAGUGGCGAACGGGUGAGUAACACGUGAGUAACCUUCCCUUGACUUUGGGAUAACUUCAGGAAACUGGGGCUAAUACCGGAUAGGAGCUCCUGCUGCUUGGUGGGGGUUGGAAAGUUUCGGCGGUUGGGGAUGGACUCGGGGCUUAUCAGGUUGUUGGUGGGGUAGCGGCUUACCAAGGCUUUGACGGGUAGCCGGCCUGAGGGGGUGACCGGCCACAUUGGGACUGAGAGACGGCCCGGACUCCUAAGGGUGGCAGCAGGGGGGAAUAUUGCACGAUGGGAGGAAGCCUGAUGCAGCAACGCCGCGUGCGGGAUGACGGCCUUCGGGUGGUAAGACGCUUUCGCCUGUGACGAAGCGUGAGUGACGGUAAUGGGUAAAGAAGCACCGGCUAACUACGUG